Long non-coding RNA from Lampris incognitus (smalleye Pacific opah), 399 nucleotides. RefSeq lists it as uncharacterized. Lineage: Eukaryota; Metazoa; Chordata; Actinopteri; Lampriformes; Lampridae. The transcript has 3 exons. The record is from RefSeq and is a predicted model, not a curated record.
UCCGCUGCGUUGCUAAGGAAACAAUCAACUAUCAACUCGGUGCGAAGCAAAGCUAACGUUAGCUACCUUCAAUUUUGUAAUUUUGUAUUUUUCGCAAUUUUGGACAGCUGGCUGCUUUUGUAAUUUUGGACUGCUGGCUGUCAACAACAGAACGGAGGUUGAUUACAGAUGUCAACACAAGACACACUGCUCCGGGCCCAAGGACACACGCUGUCCUGCCACCAUGACUGUGGUCCUGAAAAGGAGUACAGAGGACAGGAGGUCAAGAUCAACAGAUCGUCAUUUGGGGGAAGGGUACCUGCUUCAGGUGAAAUGGAACAACAACCACAACCACCUUCUUAUUAGUGCGGAUGCUCUAAGGAAGAGAGAUGUUUCCAAAGAGACAGUGGAGCGUUUGAG